Molecule: long non-coding RNA, 239 nt
Filed under: Carica papaya (papaya)
Lineage: Eukaryota; Viridiplantae; Streptophyta; Magnoliopsida; Brassicales; Caricaceae
Description: long non-coding RNA (CPAP_LNC002345)
Source: RNAcentral
CGGAAUUCAAUUCAAAGUCUCCUUGUGGUCAUAUCGGAGCCGUCGCAGGCAAAACCCGAUAGAGCCGUCGCAGGCAAGACCCUAAAACCUCUCUAAUGACCCCCUUUCCGUUUUCCGUUUCACACGAUUAUUUAACAUCGUGUUCACCGUCUCUUUCUGGUACAGGUUAGCCGAGAAAAAUCUCAGCCACAAAGGAGAACCAGCAGAGUCACAACACCUGGAGACUCCCCCUCCCCGCC